AAAAGAUCGAAUAGGGAGAUUCAUCGUCAGCAUGUCUCGUAUAUGUGUGAGUUAUGAUGCGAGUUACUUUUGUAUUGCUUGCACGUUCUUGCACAUUUAGUUGCGGAAUAUGUCGGCGUGCACUUCUCCCUUAGUAGAACGUCGCAACCCGUUGGGUGUCGGUUUAUGGCCCAAGUGGGAGUCUUUAACGUUUUUAACAUUGAAGACCCUUGGGGUUCUCUNACAGACUGCCGGGGGGCACUCANAGGGUAUUAUCUCGCAUGUUUUGCG
Molecule: ribosomal RNA, 270 nt
Filed under: Spathius chamelae
Lineage: Eukaryota; Metazoa; Arthropoda; Insecta; Hymenoptera; Braconidae
Description: partial 28S ribosomal RNA
Source: RNAcentral